This 76-nucleotide transfer RNA is filed under the name Clostridia bacterium. Its description in RNAcentral is "tRNA-Thr". It matches the Rfam family "tRNA". From Rfam's summary of the family: Transfer RNA (tRNA) molecules are approximately 80 nucleotides in length. Their secondary structure includes four short double-helical elements and three loops (D, anti-codon, and T loops). The record is from RNAcentral. RNAcentral also lists the same sequence under 3 other names. Lineage: Bacteria; Bacillati; Bacillota; Clostridia.
GCUGAUGUGGCACAGGUGGUAGCGCACAUCCUUGGUAAGGAUGAGGUCACGAGUUCGAAUCUCGUCAUCAGCUCCA